AAUCGAUUGUAUCUCAUACUAAAGAAUCGAUUUUCUGUAGAUAUUUUAAACUUCGAUUAAUAUUUAAAUCGAUUAUUUUUUACGAGAAUCGGCUAAAAAAAUCAAUACCCGUUUAGAAAAAUCUAGUGACUUUAGCCACAUUUGCGUGGUACUGGUUACCGUGCUGUGCAUUGAAUGUUGUUCUGUGUGUGGUUCUUUGGUUUUGCUGUUGCUAUGGUUACCUAUCGUAUGUGCAUGUGAAAUACUGAAAUGCCUAGAUUGAAGAUUUGGCGGAAGUGGUAAAAUCCCCCUUUUUUAUAUUAGGAUGUCGAUGCCAACGUCCAAAUCUAUUAAACGAUAUUUUACAAAAAUCGAUGCAAUAUCCUCAAGAUGUAGAUUUUGUCUCAAAAUAGUUAAAAAUCAUAGUAAUACUACUAAUUUGCUCAGCCACAUGAAAAGGAAGCAUCCUAUGAUCCCUUUGAAUCAGAAAUCGAUAAUGAAUGUAGAAUCAAAAUCAGAGCAAGAGGAGCCAUGUAAAAAAAGACAAUGUUUCGAGAAGCCCACAUCCCCUAUUAUUCAAUCCGAACCUGGGUGCAGUGGUAGCAGGACAAUUGAAAGAAGUUGUGAUAAUAUAUCGAAUUUAUCAGAAGCAACAACUUUAAGCAUCUUGGAUAGCUCAUCAUUUUCACAUAUCAAAGGAAAACAGAAAAAAGUUACUGAAGUGUUUGAAGAAGUAUCUUCAUAUACAGAAGGUGGUAGAAAUGCCAGUAAGAUUACAAAUGCCAUUUUGUAUAUGCUGGCUGUAGAUAACAUGCCACUGAAAACUGUAGAAAAUAAAGGGUUUAAGAAGUUUUUACAAACUACACUUCCACUGUACAAACUACCAUGCCGAAAAACUUUCACGAAUAUGAUGGAUGAACGGUAUGAAGUUAUUAGCUCUCAAAUUAAAGAAGAUUUUAAGAAUGUUUUAAAUUUCACAAUAACAACGGAUAUAUGGACUGAU
Long non-coding RNA from Zophobas morio, 982 nucleotides. RefSeq lists it as uncharacterized. NCBI's taxonomy places the organism in Eukaryota, Metazoa, Arthropoda, Insecta, Coleoptera, Tenebrionidae. The record is from RefSeq and is a predicted model, not a curated record. The transcript is spliced from 3 exons.